Lagopus leucura (white-tailed ptarmigan) is the source of this 1128-nucleotide long non-coding RNA. RefSeq lists it as uncharacterized. The transcript is spliced from 3 exons. Lineage: Eukaryota; Metazoa; Chordata; Aves; Galliformes; Phasianidae. The record is from RefSeq and is a predicted model, not a curated record.
AGAAUCUAACACCUAGAGAGCUGUAUUUUUCAAGACUGUUGUGUUGUAAGCAAUUAGGCAUCUUCAUUUUUUAUGUGAAGCUAUAUUCAUUCAACCUGGAGUUUACUUUUAAGUAGUUUAGACCACACUUCAGAACUUAAUCACAUGAGUGGCUCCACCCUCACCUAAAGGUAAUGCUGCCUUUCCUGAAUACUAUCUGAUUUGGCCCUGAGAGCUCACCAGCUACACCUGCUCACUAACUGAAGAUACAGUAGCAAAAAUGAUUUCCUGAGUGGUUCAGAGUUGUUCACUUGCAUCAGCCCAAGACAUUUCCAAACCAAACCCUCCAAGUGGGUUGAGAGGGUAUGGUCUGUCUCCUCUGGUUCCUGACUAUUGAGUCCCACCAUGUCAGAACGUACAGCACGUCAAAAAGUCUGUGCAAUGCUCAAAAGUGAGAUGGGGAGAAGCUAGGUUGGCACCAUGAGAUAUUCUGCACAGCCCUUACUAAGCUGAUGCUCAGAUAAAUCCCUGCUGCCCAGUGUAAACUCCUUUACCUUCUACCUCCAAUUACCUCGUCUAAUGAUCCUCCAGCAAGAUGAGCUGUAUCCACUAUGCCCUAUCCCAUAUUCUUCAGGUGCCCUCUGUGCUCUGUCUGAAGUCAGCUCUGCAGGUGGCACUGUGUCCUGCCUGUUGGUGAGACAGCCAGGAGCACAGACAGCAAAGAGAGGCAGUCUUGAGACUCCGUCAUUUUAUCUGUUUGUUCAAAUGGAAAUGGAACAACAAAGUCCUCUGGGAGUUGUAGUUCACUCUUGUCUUCUGAGACCAGGAAACCAGAAAUGUUGACAAGCCACAGAACAGCAGUACUAAGCCUUUAACUCCAGUGCACUGCGAGAUGUGAUGGUGUGGAAUACUGACCAAAAAACAUAAAACCAGGACAAGAGAGUGUCUCUUGAACCGAGGCUGCUUGCUGUGACGGAGUGCUGUGUAGCCGUAGAGCCCCUUCACUAGUUGGGCAGGAUACAACCCACCUCUGACAGAAGAGUAGCUUCCAGCUGAUGAACUGAAUCACCUGGUUGCCUCAUUGGUACUAGUACAGAUCUGUAAUUAUUAUCGUUUGCAUUCUAGUAACAUUAGUCUAGAGACUAAUUA